RNAcentral lists this ribosomal RNA (576 nucleotides) under Escovopsis sp. Its description in RNAcentral is "partial large subunit ribosomal RNA". It matches the Rfam family "Eukaryotic large subunit ribosomal RNA", at positions 58 to 654 of the family's 3401-position model. The record is from RNAcentral. RNAcentral also lists the same sequence under 1 other name. Lineage: Eukaryota; Fungi; Ascomycota; Sordariomycetes; Hypocreales; Hypocreaceae.
AAAGAAACCAACAGGGAUUGCCCCAGUAACGGCGAGUGAAGCGGCAACAGCUCAAAUUUGAAAUCUGGCCCCUCGGGGCCCGAGUUGUAAUUUGUAGAGGAUGCUUCUGGCGAGGCGCCGCCUGAGUUCCCUGGAACGGGACGCCAUAGAGGGUGAGAGCCCCGUCUGGCUGGCCGCCGAGCCUCUGUGAAGCUCCUUCGACGAGUCGAGUAGUUUGGGAAUGCUGCUCAAAACGGGAGGUAUAUGUCUUCUAAAGCUAAAUAUUGGCCAGAGACCGAUAGCGCACAAGUAGAGUGAUCGAAAGAUGAAAAGCACUUUGAAAAGAGGGUUAAACAGUACGUGAAAUUGUUGAAAGGGAAGCGCUUGCGACCAGACUCGGGCGCGGCGGAUCAUCCGGCGUUCUCGCCGGUGCACUCCGCCGCGCUCGGGCCAGCAUCGGUUCGCCCCGGGGGAGAAAGGCGUCGGGAAUGUGGCUCCUCCGGGAGUGUUAUAGCCCGGCGCGGAAUACCCUGGGGCGGACCGAGGACCGCGCGUUUACGCAAGGAUGCUGGCGUAAUGGUCGCCAGCGACCCGUCU